Molecule: ribosomal RNA, 789 nt
Filed under: Stereocaulon areolatum
Lineage: Eukaryota; Fungi; Ascomycota; Lecanoromycetes; Lecanorales; Stereocaulaceae
Description: partial 28S ribosomal RNA
Rfam family: Eukaryotic large subunit ribosomal RNA
Source: RNAcentral
GGGUCGGUCCGGCCUCGAGUUGUAAUUUGCAGAGGAUGUUUCGGGUGCGGCGCGGGUCUAAGUCCUUUGGAACAGGGCGUCAGAGAGGGUGAGAAUCCCGUAUGCGACCCGCGACCAACCCCCUAUGAAACCCCUUCGACGAGUCGAGUUGUUUGGGAAUGCAGCUCAAAAUGGGUGGUAAAUUUCAUCUAAAGCUAAAUACCGGCCAGAGACCGAUAGCGCACAAGUAGAGUGAUCGAAAGAUGAAAAGCACUUUGGAAAGAGAGUCAAACAGUACGUGAAAUUGUUGAAAGGGAAGCGCUUGCGACCAGACCUGUCCGGGGGCGAUCAACCUCCGUUCUCGGGGGUGCACUCGCCCGCGAUCAGGCCAGCAUCGGUUCGGGCGGUCGGAUACAGGCCUUGGGAAUGUAGCUUCCUCCGGGGAGUCUUAUAGCCCUCGGUGCAAUGCGGCCAGCCCGGACCGAGGACCGCGCUUCGGCUAGGAUGCUGGCGUAAUGGUCGUAAGCGACCCGUCUUGAAACACGGACCAAGGAGUCUAACAUCUAUGCGAGUGUUUGGGUGUCAAACCCAUACGCGGAAUGAAAGUGAACGGAGGUGAGAACCCUGAAGGGCGCAUCAUCGACCGAUCCAGAUGUCUUCGGAUGGAUUUGAGUACGAGCAUAGCUGUUGGGACCCGAAAGAUGGUGAACUAUGCCUGAAUAGGGUGAAGCCAGAGGAAACUCUGGUGGAGGCUCGCAGCGGUUCUGACGUGCAAAUCGAUCGUCAAAUUUGGGUAUAGGGGCGAAAGAC